Molecule: ribosomal RNA, 250 nt
Filed under: uncultured bacterium
Lineage: Bacteria
Description: partial 16S ribosomal RNA
Rfam family: Bacterial small subunit ribosomal RNA
Source: RNAcentral
UACGGAGGGUGCAAGCGUUAAUCGGAAUUACUGGGCGUAAAGGGUGUGUAGGUGGGAUUAUAAGUUAAUUUUGAAAUACCCGGGCUCAACCUGGGGGAGUGAAUUAAGACUGUAAUUCUAGAGUGAAGGAGAGGGUAUGGGAAUUUCCGGUGUAGCGGUGAAAUGCGUAGAUAUCGGAAGGAACACCAGUGGCGAAGGCGCAUACCUGGCCAGACACUGACACUGAGACACGAAAGCGUGGGGAGCAAAC